RNAcentral lists this ribosomal RNA (764 nucleotides) under Mesocyclops sp. TyZL01. Its description in RNAcentral is "SSU rRNA". It matches the Rfam family "Eukaryotic small subunit ribosomal RNA", at positions 1025 to 1811 of the family's 1831-position model. Lineage: Eukaryota; Metazoa; Arthropoda; Copepoda; Cyclopoida; Cyclopidae. The record is from RNAcentral.
UCUAACCAUAAACGAUGCCAGCUAGCGAUCUGCGGGCGUUUUUAUUGUAGGCCCCGCAGGAAGCUUCCGGGAAACCAAAGCUUUUGGGUUCCUGGGAAAGUAUGAUUGCAAAAUUGAAAUUUAAAGAAAUUGACGGAACGGCACCACCAGGCGUGGAACUUGCGGCUUAAUUUGACUCAACACUGGAAAUCUCACCAGGCCCGGACACCGGAAGGAUUGACAGAUUGAGAGCUCUUUCUCGAUUCGGUGGGUGGUGGUGCAUGGCCGUUCUUAGUUGGUGGAGUGAUUUGUCUGGUUAAUUCCGAUAACGAACGAGACUCCGUCCUGCUAACUAGUCGCGACGUCACUCUUGCGUUGCGAAUUCUUCUUAGAGGGACUGGCAGCGUUUAGCUGCACGAGAUGGAGCAAUAACAGGUCUGUGAUGCCCUUAGAUGUUCUGGGCUGCACGCGUGUUACACUGAAGGGAUCAGCGUGUCCUCCCUGGCCGAGAGGUCCGGGUAACCCGCUGAACCCCCUUCGUGGUAGGGAUCGGAGCUUGCAAUUAUUCUCCGUGAACCAGGAAUGCCCAGUAAGCGCAAGUCAUAAGCUUGCGUUGAUUACGUCCCUGCCGUUUGUACACACCGCCCGUCGCUACUACCGAUUGAACGUUUUAGUGAGGUAUUUGGACUGGACCUCAGUUGGUUCGCGCCGACUGUGCGUUCGGGAAGACUCCCAAACUUGAGCGUUUAGAGGAAGUAAAAGUCGUAACAAGGUUACCGUAGGUG